This 2675-nucleotide long non-coding RNA is filed under the name Ornithorhynchus anatinus (platypus). RNAcentral's name for it is "lncRNA (ENSOANG00000036023.1)". Lineage: Eukaryota; Metazoa; Chordata; Mammalia; Monotremata; Ornithorhynchidae. The record is from RNAcentral.
UAUUAAGCACUUACUGUAUGCAGAGCACUCUACUAAGCUGUUGGGAGAGCACAAUACAACAAUAAAUAAACACAUUCCCUGCCCACAACAAGCUUACAGACUUGGGAUAGGGAUGGUAUCCAAACUGGUUAUCUUGUACCUGCAUAGUGCUGGGCACAAAACUGUGGCUUAACAAAUGCCACAAUUAUUAUUAUUAAGCCCUGUCCCAUAUGGGACUAACAGUCUGAAGAGGAGGAAGAACAGAUAUUUAAUCCCCAUUUUACAGAUGAGGAACUUGAGGCACAGAGAAAUAAGAUGACUUGCCUAAAAUCACACAGAAGACAAGUAACUGGGAUUAGAAUCCCGCUCCUCUGAAUCCCAGGCCCGUGCUCUUCCUACUAGGCCUGGGACUCAACCAACCGUAACUAACCAUAGGUAGCCCACCCUAUGUGCCCCUUGGAGCCUGAAGUGGCCCAAGGUGUAGACUCCAUUUUUUUGCUCCUUUCCAGGUCCUCCCACCCACCUUGAGGUCCAGGACCAAACUGGAGGUCCCUCUCUCUCUGACCCAGAGUCCAGUGAGAUGAGCUGGGUGCCCAUCUUGCCCAGGCCCACCCAGUCAACCUGGAUGAUUGAGGGAUGAGAAGAGUGCCAGCUUCUGUAAAUCUGCCACUGCUAAAGCUUGGACUACCAUCUUCUCCCACCACCACCAAGACAGCAGCCGCAGCAGUCCCGGGAAGUAGCUCCAGCCCAUCUCGCCUAUCUUAGGCCAGAUGGCAAAGUCCGUGUCUUGUGCCCUCAUUGGAAGAACACACGAACCCUUAUGCACCUCGGCCAAGGGUGCUGCUCACUUAGAUGGAAGAGAUGAAUAGUGGAAGAUGGGAGAGGAGACUCGUCAGUCCUGGGUGAGGCACGAGAAAGGAGCCACUGUGUUGUUCAUUUUCUGCUAAGCUGUGAGGGAAUUGGCAAGUCAGAGAAUUCUGGAGAAAUUUCGUGUGCAAGCAACAAGCAACAAUUUCAAGCAACGUUUAUUCGACUACCUGUAUUUCUGGGCUAUUUCCACACUUCUGAACAUCAGUCACUUGGUAGUGUUCUUUCUGGAGGAGAAUGGAGAGUUAGUGUUCCCAGAGAAGAAUCAUAGCAAAGCAAGUAGUGCGCAAGUUCAUUUCUCGCAUUAAAGAAAAUCAACAGGAUUAGAGGUUGAUUCUGUUUUAUUUCGUGAUGGAGUAAGUAAUUGGCUUUCUUUUCAUAUUUGAAAUCUCAGUUCAGUGAAAAUACAGGGGAAAGCAGUUUGUGGUGGCAGGAGGUUAGAAAAAGUAUUCUCUCUAAAUAUAUUUCUCAAAUGUAGUACUUUCUAUCUUCCAGAUGUUGAUUGCUUUUCUUUAUUAAAACUGAUUUUGCUUUGUUUUCUAGGGAGGUAGUUUGGAAUUUUUUUGAGGUCAGAGUUAUUUAUCUAAAUGGUAUUUUAAAAAGAUCGCUACGUAAAAUAAUCUACUGAUUCAUUGAUGUAUUGUAACCAGAAUCGAUCUGUACAUCAUGAUAUAUCAAAAUGCAAAAUGUGCCAUUGGUCUUUACCUGAGUCAAAUGAAUAAUCUAUUUUUUUCUAUUGUAGAAUUUUUGAUUAUUAAUUAUUUGGGGUGUUUUUUGCAUACUAACAUAUGCCAUUAAGAGGGAUCUCUUGGAGUAGUUAUGCAUUAAUUUACACUAAUCAUUUAAUAGUACUCUAACUCCAUUAGCCCUAGCUUGAAGAAAUUGAUGUAUUGGCUAAGGUAACAAUUCUCCUAUCCUCACCCCUCUGAAUCACCUCCCACAUUAAUGAUAAAAAUGUCCCUAAUUGAGCAGGUGUUAAAAGAAAAGAUUCUAAAUAGAGCUAAAAAGACUAAUCUACUGAAUUAGGAAAAUUGAGCGAAAUAUUGGAAUGACUAAUGGAUGCUUCUAUUCCAGGAAAGUGUACUCCUUGCUUGUAAAUAAUAGGAAUAUUUAAUUCUAUUUAAAUUGAUUUGUAUUUAUUCAUACGAUGUUCAUCUAUCUGUUUGCAUAUGCCUGUCAGCUUGUAUGUUAACUGCAAUUCAUGGUCAACUUCUGGAUGGUGGACUGAAUUAACUUCUCCCGCUCUGAAUAGAACCUAGCCUACCCCUCACAGGCAAAAAAGGUCUUGGUGAAAGUUUUAUGAUAGAGGUAGUUCAGCCCAGCCACACUACUCAUUUUAGAUUGUAUAUGGUGCUGAUAUUAUGAAAUUAUGAAGACUUUUUAGCUGAAACUUUUCGGGGGCAGGGACCUUAUUGUACUCUCCCAAGAGCUUAGUACAGUGCUCCUCACACAGUGAGCACUCAAUAAAUACCACUGAUUGAUUCAUGAGCAGGGAAUGCAUCUGUUAUAUUGUUACACGGCACUCUUCCGAGAGCUUAGGACAGUGCUCUGCACAGAGUAAGUGCUUAAUAAAUAUGAUUGACUGGCAAAAUGCACACCUACACCUUCCUGUGUGAAAACAUCAAUGCUUCCAAAUUCCUCCGGCUGAAGCCCUAGAUGGAAACUGAGCUCUACUAGUUCUGCUGAAGAAGACCGCAGAACUUACCAGACAUUCAAAAAACAGAGUCCCUCCCGCAUCGAUGCCAAAUAGCUGAAAUAAAUCACUUUGUCUUUCCACAGAGGAAUUCCUGUUCUGAAAGAAACAUGCUUUUUCUCAAUACACUCCUUUA